RNAcentral lists this long non-coding RNA (2800 nucleotides) under Triticum aestivum (bread wheat). RNAcentral's name for it is "long non-coding RNA (TAES_LNC020270)". The record is from RNAcentral. Lineage: Eukaryota; Viridiplantae; Streptophyta; Magnoliopsida; Poales; Poaceae.
UACACAGAAUACUAACAUGAUAAUAAACAAACUCCAUGAAGCAAUAAGAAAUUUGCCUCAUUUGCAAAAGUGUCUACAAAGUAGGUAAUGACAGAAGAUGAAUGAAAUCAUGAUUGUCCAGCCAUACUAGAAAUUGCAAGACUAAGCAAUCAUCUCAUUCUCUUUUUUUUUUUUUGAGGGGACAAUCAUCUCAUUCUUCAUGAAUGAAUGAAUUGUGCAAUCCAUGAAAGUAAAAAAUAAAUGUUUUUCAUAUGUGCUCUGAAACACCCAAGCAUGGUCACCAACUUUUUGGUGCUGCAACAUCUGUUGUCCAUUGAUAGCAUGCUUCUUAAGAAAAAAAGGAAGAUUCUGACAAGACCUUAGGAGAGAAAAGAUUUUGAGCUAAACAAGAAGGGCAUAUACAGAGCUCCAUCAGGAGGAGACCACCACUAACACUGCAACCUAUAAACACACCAGUUGGGAAUAGCAGGUUUGGAUACAAGUUCCUGUCAAAAUCAAAACGAAAUCCACGGAUUAAUGCUCCUUUAUCAUAUUGAUUACCCAAUGGGGGUAAAGCACAAGCAUACGGAUGGUGUGAAAAUGCAUUACCAGCAACCUAGAAUUGGGCAUCAUUUGUCAUAAUGAUCCCUUGAAUAAAUGUGUGAGAGCAAACACACAAUCAUAAAUAUAGCUCAGUAGAAUUAGAAGCUAGUAGGAUCAUGUACACCCAAAUUCAAAUUCAGGAUAACCUCACCUCAAGUAUAUACUCUGCUUGCCAACAUUUAACAAAUAGAAAAUUAAAAAAAUAAGAAUUAACAACAUACACAUAAAGUAUAUUAUGUAUUCCAUGUUAAGAAUUUCUAAAGCUAUAUUCAGAUAAGGCAUAAGAAUAAAAAUAUUCACUGAUUGCCACUACUUCUCUAGCCUAUAGACAGUUAGCCAAAUAUAGGCCUCCCUGGAAGGAGCAAAUCCACCACUAUUAGGGGUAAAAGGGAAAUUUAUGUCCUCGGUACUUAAGCCAAUACAAAUCAAUAGCAAUUCUCUAUUAAGGUAAGAUUGAGAUUGACUAGUUGAUGACUGGUACCAAGUAACUAUUGUGGCUUACUGUAUGAAUUGGGUGGAAACACAUCUUUACUAUCAAAAGUUAGGUUUAUGCUACUUCAACAAAAACAACUUAGACAGACAGCCAGGAAGGGUCCAGUGUAUGUGUACCUCAUUGCAAUUGAAAUAAAUCUAACUCGAGACCGGUAGUAACCACGAAUUGCUCCAAACUGCACGGAACAAGAAAAUUAAAUUAAUCAUAUAGCAUGCUUUUUUAUUUUUUUAUUUCAUAUAGCGUACUGAAUAUUUAACAUUGAUCGUGCAGUUACCUGAACAGAGAAUAACAUGUUGUACACACAAGAUAAGACAUUAACACUAGGUAAUUGACCAGAAGAAAGGGUUGCACCCUUAAUUUAAACGGAAAACCUCAAAAGCCUCAUCGCCGGAAGAUCUCAAUAUAUGUUCAUACGAGAGCUAGCUAGUUCCUUUUGUUUUGCGAGGAGAGAGCUAGCUAUUUAUUAACUUCAGAAAUUCAGCAUUCAGUUAAUUCACAAGGUACAAGAGACACUGAAGUUUGUACCGCAAACUUGUACAUAUUCUUCCGUUCUGUAUUGCCCAAACAAUUUAUGGACUAGAAUGCACGUGAGAAAAUGUAAAACUAUCUUUGAGUUCCUUGCAGAUUGCAAAAGAAAAUAGAAAUAUAAAUUUGAAACGGUCGCUAAUUUGCAUUGCUAAUUGAUAUAUGUGUGCAAUGGAAACAGAUCAUUUAGACAUCUGCUCGCAACCUUGAUGAUUUCCCCUCUGAAUAAAUUCAGCCAAACAGAUUAAUCACAUGCCUUAAUCAUAUUACGAGCAACUGGUUUCAUUAUGCUUAAGUGGUACCUAAAUACAUCAAGGCGAACUACGAGUCAUGGAGCUCGAAUGGCUAGGCCGCUGGCCAUGUUUGAAGGAUCAAAAACUAAUUAACAAGGUAUAUUUGUUCAUCCAGCUUAUGGUGACUAUAUAUUCUUGUGUGCCUAACCGUGAGUACAACGUACUUGCCAUUUUCUUGUCUGCGCAGCAUUGCCUCGUCUCCAAGUCCCUUGCAUACAUCUUCUGCUCUGAGAUUUCUUGGCAGAAUUUCAAUCCUCAUUUGCCUAAUAAAUUCACAAAACACAAAGCUGGUGUCAUCACUUCGAAUCUUAUCUUAAGAAUAGCAUAAAACUAAAUUUCGUGUAAACAAAAUUCCGCUCUGAUUUGAAGCUCGUAAGUUUGUACGUAUUUCCAUUAACAAAUUCAUAGAGAAUUAGUACUAUCACCUAGGUACAGGCUGGUUCUUUAUGUACAACAUUACUAACAUUCAGUUAAUUGAGAAGCAUCAUUUAUAGCUACAAGGUUGCAAAUUCGUGCAAUUUUUUGACGGCGAAUUUUACAGAAAAUCAAAAUCACAGAGAGUAUUCACAUGCCCCAUGAGAAACAAAAAUUGAUCUCAACAGAAUCGAAGUUUGAUGCUGUAGUGUUGUUCAUCCUACUCCACAGUUUGAUACUGAAUUCACAUGGCCUCCCCCGCCACCUCUCCGCUCCGGCAUUUGAUCUGAGGGGGAUUGAAGGGGUUUGUGAAGGAUUAAAUCCCUUGUAAGUCAGAAUCCUCCCCAAUCCCCUUCAAACACCUCCAAUCUCCUUGGAGAAGGGAUUAACCGAACAAGCCCACCAUAACCCCCUCCCCUGCAGGUACUACACAAGCUCCCCAUAUUUCUUUCAUUUCAUUCAUUGGUCUCUCUUCCUCUUCCCCUGCUCCCCC